This 379-nucleotide ribosomal RNA is filed under the name uncultured Alphaproteobacteria bacterium. Its description in RNAcentral is "bacterial SSU rRNA". It matches the Rfam family "Bacterial small subunit ribosomal RNA", at positions 9 to 412 of the family's 1533-position model. The record is from RNAcentral. Lineage: Bacteria; Pseudomonadati; Pseudomonadota; Alphaproteobacteria.
GAGUUUGAUCGUGGCUCAGAACGAACGCUGGCGGCGUGGAUAAGACAUGCAAGUCGAACGCGUGGCUUCGGCCACGAGUGGCGCACGGGUGAGUAGCGCGUGGGAACCUGCCUUUGGGUUCGGGAUAACCGCGGGAAACUGCGGCUAAUACCGGAUGUCCCCUGCGGGGGAAAGAUUUAUCGCCCCAGAGAGGGGGCCCGCGUCCGAUUAGGUAGUUGGUGAGGUAACGGCUCACCAAGCCUUCGAUCGGUAGCUGGUCUGAGAGGAUGAUCAGCCACACUGGGACUGAGACACGGCCCAGACUCCUACGGGAGGCAGCAGUGGGGAAUAUUGGACAAUGGGGGAAACCCUGAUCCAGCAAUGCCGCGUGAGUGAUGAA